Molecule: ribosomal RNA, 240 nt
Filed under: uncultured bacterium
Lineage: Bacteria
Description: partial 16S ribosomal RNA
Rfam family: Bacterial small subunit ribosomal RNA
Source: RNAcentral
GAUCAUGGCCCAGGAUGAACGCUAGCGACAGGCCUAACACAUGCAAGUCGGAGGGGCAGCGGAGAGGUAGCAAUACCUUUGCCGGCGACCGGCGCACGGGUGAGUAACACGUAUGCAAUCCACCUGUAACAGGGGGAUAACCCGGAGAAAUCCGGACUAAUACCCCAUAAUAUGGGCUCUCCGCAUGGAGGUCCAUUAAAGAGAGCAAUUUUGGUUACAGACGAGCAUGCGCUCCAUUAG